GAGGGUAUAGCUCAGUGAUAGAGCGCAUGCUUAGCAUGCAUGAGGUCCUGGGUUCAAUUCCUAGCACCUCCA
This 72-nucleotide transfer RNA is filed under the name Camelus bactrianus (Bactrian camel). It matches the Rfam family "tRNA". Rfam says of the family: Transfer RNA (tRNA) molecules are approximately 80 nucleotides in length. Their secondary structure includes four short double-helical elements and three loops (D, anti-codon, and T loops). The record is from Rfam by way of RNAcentral. Lineage: Eukaryota; Metazoa; Chordata; Mammalia; Artiodactyla; Camelidae. RNAcentral also lists the same sequence under 1 other name.